GAGACCUGACUUUUGGAUUCCAUCUGAAGAGGAACUAAGAAGAUUAGUGCCACCGGAGAAUCCAAGGGCUGGAAUAUGUGAUGAUGUGGUUGACAAGCAAGUACACUCUUAGAGUAUAUCAGGUCUGCUGUCAUGAGAGUAUGCAAGCUGCCCUACAUCAUCUCAGUCGUUUAGGAAUUAAAGAGCUUACUCAGCCCAUGCAUGGGACUUGCUUCUGCAAUGCAUGAGCUUCUUGAUGAAGCAAUUGAGCUCGCUGCUGUAGCACAUAUUGGGAGGGGAUUGCAAAUAACUAACUGGAACCUUGCCAACAAUUUUGUUGUUUUUAAUAAUCAGGUACUUUAAUCUAUGCACGUUCACCAGAUGCCCAAUACCAGCAUCUGCUUGGCAUUACUGAGUUCAGUCAUGGCAUUUAUUGCAAAUAAUUUUGGUUUAUCUUCACCUGUCAAAAAUACCAUCAGCCUGAUUUGUGAUCAUUAGAUCUGCAAAAUGAUAAAACAAAAAUUAGUACCUGUCUCAUGUUUGCCUGUAAAUUUCUAAAGGUAAACUGAAAAAUUAACCG
Lolium rigidum is the source of this 559-nucleotide long non-coding RNA. RefSeq lists it as uncharacterized. The record is from RefSeq and is a predicted model, not a curated record. The transcript has 3 exons. Lineage: Eukaryota; Viridiplantae; Streptophyta; Magnoliopsida; Poales; Poaceae.